UGGGGAAUAUUGCACAAUGGGCGGAAGCCUGAUGCAGCGACGCCGCGUGAGGGAUGACGGCCUUCGGGUUGUAAACCUCUUUCAGUAGGGAAGAAGCGAAAGUGACGGUACCUGCAGAAGAAGCGCCGGCUAACUACGUGCCAGCAGCCGCGGUAAUACGUAGGGCGCAAGCGUUAUCCGGAUUUAUUGGGCGUAAAGAGCUCGUAGGCGGUUUGUCGCGUCUGCCGUGAAAGUCCGAGGCUCAACCUCGGAUCUGCGGUGGGUACGGGCAGACUAGAGUGAUGUAGGGGAGACUGGAAUUCCUGGUGUAGCGGUGAAAUGCGCAGAUAUCAGGAGGAACACCGAUGGCGAAGGCAGGUCUCUGGGCAUUUACUGACGCUGAGGAGCGAAAGCAUGGGGAGCGAACA
RNAcentral lists this ribosomal RNA (407 nucleotides) under uncultured Arthrobacter sp. RNAcentral's name for it is "bacterial SSU rRNA". It matches the Rfam family "Bacterial small subunit ribosomal RNA", at positions 355 to 774 of the family's 1533-position model. Lineage: Bacteria; Bacillati; Actinomycetota; Actinomycetes; Micrococcales; Micrococcaceae. The record is from RNAcentral. RNAcentral also lists the same sequence under 1 other name.